RNAcentral lists this ribosomal RNA (253 nucleotides) under uncultured bacterium. RNAcentral's name for it is "partial 16S ribosomal RNA". It matches the Rfam family "Bacterial small subunit ribosomal RNA", at positions 524 to 776 of the family's 1533-position model. The record is from RNAcentral.
UACGGAGGGUGCAAGCGUUAAUCGGAAUUACUGGGCGUAAAGCGUGCGCAGGCGGUUUGUUAAGUCCGCUGUGAAAUCCCCGAGCUCAACUUGGGAAUUGCAGUGGAUACUGGCAAGCUGGAGUAUGGUAGAGGAAGGUGGAAUUCCCGGUGUAGCAGUGAAAUGCGUAGAGAUCGGGAGGAACACCAGUGGCGAAGGCGGCCUUCUGGACCAAUACUGACGCUAAUGCACGAAAGCGUGGGGAGCAAACAGG